AGUGAACGCUGGCGGUAGGCCUAACACAUGCAAGUCGAACGGCAGCACAGUAAGAGCUUGCUCUUACGGGUGGCGAGUGGCGGACGGGUGAGGAAUACAUCGGAAUCUACUUUUUCGUGGGGGAUAACGUAGGGAAACUUACGCUAAUACCGCAUACGACCUACGGGUGAAAGCAGGGGAUCUUCGGACCUUGCGCGAUUGAAUGAGCCGAUGUCGGAUUAGCUAGUUGGCGGGGUAAAGGCCCACCAAGGCGACGAUCCGUAGCUGGUCUGAGAGGAUGAUCAGCCACACUGGACCUGAGACACGGCCCAGACUCCUACGGGAGGCAGCGGUGGGGAAUAUUGGACAAUGGGCGCAAGCCUGAUCCAGCCAUACCGCGUGGGUGAAGAAGGCCUUCGGGUUGUAAAGCCCUUUUGUUGGGAAAGAAAAGCAGCAGGUUAAUACCCCGCUGUUCUGACGGUACCCAAAGAAUAAGCACCGGCUAACUUCGU
RNAcentral lists this ribosomal RNA (491 nucleotides) under uncultured bacterium. RNAcentral describes it as "partial 16S ribosomal RNA". It matches the Rfam family "Bacterial small subunit ribosomal RNA", at positions 29 to 506 of the family's 1533-position model. The record is from RNAcentral.